AAACAAACAAGUAAGGGUAUUCGAUGGAUGCCUAGGCGAUGAGAGGCGAUGAAGGACGUAAUAGGCUGCGAUAAGCUGUGGGGAGCUGCCAGUAAGCUGUGAUCCGCAGAUUUCCGAAUGGGUCAACCCAACUAAUUUAUUAGUUACCUUAAAUUGAAUUCAUAGAUUUAAGGAGCGAACCUGGAGAAUUGAAAUAUCUUAGUAACCAGAGGAAAGGAAAUCAAUAGAGACUCCGUUAGUAGUGACGAGCGAAAGCGGACUAGACCAAUGACCUAUAAUUAAAUAAUUGGAAUGUUUUGGAAAAGACAGCCAUAGAGAGUGAUAGCCUCGUACAUAGGUUUUAAUUAUAGGUAUACGAGUAGGGCGGAGCACGUGAAAUUCCGUCUGAAGUGGGGUAAUGCCCGAGGAGAACCAUCUUCUAAGUCUAAGUACUACUCAGCGACCGAUAGUGAACAAGUACCGUGAGGGAAAGGUUAAAAGAACCCCGGGAGGGGAGUGAAAUAGAUCCUGAAAUCGAAUACCUACAAACAGUUGGAGCUUUUGUGACUUUUAAGUCAUAUAUUGUGACAGCGUACCUUUUGUAUAAUGGGUCAGCGAGUGAAUUUAUUCAGCAAGCUUAAGUCGUGAGAUGUAGGCGUAGCGAAAGCGAGUCUGAAUAGGGCGAUUUAGUUGGAUGGAUUCGACCCGAAACCAAGUGAUCUAGCCAUGGCCAGACUGAAGAUAAGGUAAUACUUAUUGGAGGGUCGAACCCGUUACUGUUGCAAUAGUAUGGGAUGAGUUGUGGCUAGGGGUGAAAGGCCAAUCAAACUUGGAUAUAGCUGGUUCUCUGCGAAAUCUAUUUAGGUAGAGCGUCAUGUGUAUCUUAUUGAGGGUAGAGCUCUGAAUGGGCUAUGGGGAUUAACGUCUUACUGAACUCAAUCAAACUUCGAAUAUCAUUAAGUUUUGCAUGGCAGACACACUACGGGUGAUAAGAUCCGUGGUGAAGAGGGAAAGAGCCCAGAUCGCUAUAUAAGGUCCCUAAAUUGUGGCUAAGUGUGAAAGGAGGUGAAAGGGCCAACACAGCUAGGAGGUGGGCUUAGAAGCAGCCAUCCUUUAAAGAAAGCGUAACAGCUCACUGGUCUAAAUAAGCCUUUUUGCGCCGAAGAUGUAACGGGGCUAAAGUCACAUACCGAAUAUGCGAAUCUUCAUUUAUUUGAAGAUGGUAGCAGAGCGUUCUGUAAGCCGUCGAAGAUCAAUUGUGAAGUUGGUUGGAGGUAUCAGAAGUGAGAAUGCUGACAUGAGUAACGUUAAAGAGUGUGAGAUGCACUCUCGCCGAAAAUCUAAGGUUUCCCACGUCAAGGUAGUCUGCGUGGGGUUAGUCGGUUCCUAAGGCGAGAUCGAAAGGAGUAGUCGAUGGGAAGCAGGUUAAUAUUCCUGCACCUGUACAAUUGUGACGAAUCUCGUAGCUAAUUUUUCUUAUUGGAUUGAUAAUAGUUAGUGAGAGGUUCCAAGAAAUAGCAUGUACAUAAAAGGCCGUACCGUAAACCGACACUGGUAGAUGGAUAGAGUAUAUUAAGGCGUUUGAGAUAACAAUGUUGAAGGAACUCGGCAAAUUGCAUCCGUAACUUAGGGAGAUGGAUGACCUUAUUUAGGGCAACCUUUUUAAGGUGUAACACAACAGGGGGUGGUGACUGUUUAUCAAAAACACAGGACUAUGCAAACACGUAAGUGGAAGUAUAUGGUCUGACGCCUGCCCGGUGCUGGAAGGUUAACAGGAGGGGUGAAUAGCUCUGAAUCGAAGCCCCAGUAAACGGCGGCCGUAACACUGACGGUCCUAAGGUAGCGAAAUUCCUUGUCGGGUAAGUUCCGACCUGCACGAAUGGCGUAACAAUCGCCCCGCUGUCUCCAACAUUGACUCAGUGAAAUUGAAAUCCCCGUUAAGAUGCGGGGUACCCGCGGUGGGACGAAGAGACCCCGUGCACCUUUACUAUAUCUUUAUAUUGAUAUUAGAAUGGCAAUGUGUAGGAUAGGUGGAAGAAUUUGAAGCUAUGGCGCUAGUUAUAGUGGAUUCAACCUUGAAAUACCACCCUUUUUCAUUUUGAUAUCUAACUAUUUUCCAUUAUCUGGAAUUAGGACAUUGUAUGGUUGGUAGUUUGACUGGGGCGGUCGCCUCCUAAAGAGUAACGGAGGCGUGCGAAGGUAGGCUCUGGCUGGUUGGAAAUCAGUCUUAGAGUGCAAUGGCAAAAGCCUGCCUGACUGCGAGCCUGACAGGGCGAGCAGGGACGAAAGUCGGUCAUAGUGAUCCGGUGAUUCUGCGUGGAAGGGUCAUCGCUCAACGGAUAAAAGGUACGCCGGGGAUAACAGGCUGAUAGUGCUCGAGAGUUCAUAUCGACGGCACUGUUUGGCACCUCGAUGUCGACUCAUCACAUCCUGGAGCUGAAGAAGGUUCCAAGGGUUCGGCUGUUCGCCGAUUAAAGUGGUACGUGAGUUGGGUUCAGAACGUCGUGAGACAGUUCGGUUUCUAUCUACCGCGGGCGUUUAGAGAUUUGAGAGGGUCUGAUUCUAGUACGAGAGGACCGAAUUGGGUGUACCUAUGGUGUUCCAGUUGUUGUGCCAACAGCAUUGCUGGGUAGCUACGUACAUUAAAGAUAACCGCUGAAAGCAUCUAAGUGGGAAGCUUGCCUCAAGAAUAGAUCUCUCAUAAGGGAGGUAAUAGAUUAUUACUUUGAUAGGCUAGGUGUGUAAGUGCGGUAACGUAUUGAGCUAACUAGUACUAAUUUCCCGGUUGGUUUGUUUUU
Molecule: ribosomal RNA, 2777 nt
Filed under: Anaplasmataceae bacterium
Lineage: Bacteria; Pseudomonadati; Pseudomonadota; Alphaproteobacteria; Rickettsiales; Anaplasmataceae
Description: 23S ribosomal RNA
Rfam family: Bacterial large subunit ribosomal RNA
Source: RNAcentral